CGGGUGAGUAACACGUGGUCAACCUUCCCGACAGUGGGGGAUAACUAGCCGAAAGGUUAGCUAAUACCGCAUACGAUCUACGAUCGGCAUCGAUUGUAGAUGAAAGGAGCAAUCCGCUUUCGGACGGGACCGCGUCCCAUUAGCUAGAUGGUGGGGUAAUGGCCUACCAUGGCGACGAUGGGUAGCUGGUUUGAGAGAGCGACCAGCCACACUGGGACUGAGAAACGGCCCAGACUCCUACGGGAGGCAGCAGUGAGGAAUUUUCCGCAAUGGGCGAAAGCCUGACGGAGCGACGCCGCGUGUGGGAAGAAGGCCUUCGGGUCGUAAACCACUGUCGAAGGGGAAAAUAAUGAUGGUACCCUUGGAGGAAGCCCCGGC
This 378-nucleotide ribosomal RNA is filed under the name uncultured bacterium. RNAcentral's name for it is "bacterial SSU rRNA". It matches the Rfam family "Bacterial small subunit ribosomal RNA", at positions 103 to 497 of the family's 1533-position model. The record is from RNAcentral.